UACAGAGGUCUCAAGCGUUGUUCGGAUUCAUUGGGCGUAAAGGGUGCGUAGGCGGCGCGGUAAGUCGGGUGUGAAAACUCGAGGCUCAACUUCGAGCUGUCGGUGGAAACUUUCUGGCUAGAGUCCGGAAGAGGAGAAUGGAAUUCCCGGUGUAGUGGUGAAAUGCGUAGAUAUCGGGAGGAACACCAGUGGCGAAGGCGACUACCUGGCCUGUUCUUGACGCUGAGGCGCGAAAGCUAGGGGAGCAAACGGG
RNAcentral lists this ribosomal RNA (253 nucleotides) under uncultured bacterium. RNAcentral's name for it is "partial 16S ribosomal RNA". It matches the Rfam family "Bacterial small subunit ribosomal RNA", at positions 524 to 776 of the family's 1533-position model. The record is from RNAcentral.